CCGCACCCCGCCCGGGCCAAGUGCCCGGGGACUGCCCGGAGCCGGUCCCGGAGCCGCCCGCGGGCCUACGGCGCCCCCCCCCCUCUCCCCGUCCUUCCCCCCGCCCAGUUCCCAUCAGUCACCGCCGACGCCGCGGCGGCCGAAAUCUGGGCUCCGAGGGACCGGAGACUCCUUCCCCUUCGCUCCGGCCCGCCCCGUCCCAGAGUCGGGAAGAGGGGCCUGGGAUCCGAGGGAGCGCCCAGCCCACCCGCUCCCGGCCCAAGGCCGAGCUCGUCAUCCGUCAGUCAACAAACACAGAAAGCGGCCACUGGGCGCUGGGUCUGGGCUUAGGGGGACUAAAAUGAGGCGGUCUCCGCCCCGCAAAGAGAUCCAGCUCCUGAAGUCUUGUCAGGUUCCGGGCCUCAGUUUUCUCCCCUGUAAAAUGGGGAUUGUGGGGAGGGAAUAAAUCUCGGACGCGCACCCCGUGCUCCAUCAAGCCUCCCCCUGGAGAGGUAGGUGCUAUGAGCUGAGGAGGACAGAGGCUGCGUGAUCUGCGCAGUCACACGGUUAUAGGUCGAAUUCGAACUCCCGGCUUCCUGACUCCAUCCCUGGAAGCACCAGCUGGCUCCAGCUCCCGGCACUGAUGGCUCUGUUUUCUCUGGCCCCCUAAGGAGUAUUUAUCCGUUGCCCCGUCUGCACCUGGUGGGGCCCCCUUCCCCACCCCUGCCCUGCUCCCUUCCACCCCUCGGCGGCUCCGGGUCCUUCCCGACUCAGCCCCUGACCACUCCUAGCGGGGGCGGCCCUGGUCCCUCCGUGGCUAACGCCCUCCUUGCCCCGUCAGAAAGGACUUCACAUUGAGUGUGUAUUUGCUUCUCUACGUACGUACGUGACGCUCCUUCCCCACGAUCCCCACCUUCCACCCAGAGAACAUAAGCUUCUUGAGGCAGGGAUCGUUUCCUCUCUCGUCUUCCAGUUCCAGUGCCUGGCACCUAGUAGGUGCACAAUCCAUGUUGUGGGUGGAAGUAUUCUCUCCAUUUUACAGAUGAGGAAACUGAGGACAAGAUGAAGAAAGCAUUUGGUGUGAAGGAAAUGGAAUCCCACUCGGAUGAUCACAGCUUCAUUAGUUCCCAAUUGUAAAACCAUCAGAUCUCCUAGAGAUCAUCCAAUUUCAUUUUAGGGAUCAGGAAACUGAGGUUCAGAGACGAAAAGUAGCUCCAGAGGUCUCACAGCUCCCAACUUCAGCCCCCUUACUGCCUGCCUGGCCUGUGCCCAUUGAACCAUCCUGCCUGGGUGACCUGAGUGACUGGCCUUCAGACAAACUAGAAAGAAGGGAAUGUUUGGCUUCUUCCUUCUGGAUUGAGACCAGUAUCUGGGGAGGCAAACCUCUCCCCAGCCUUGAUUUUUCCACUUUUCCAAUGGGCCUACAAAGGGCAUUUUACCAGAAUUAGCCAGGUGUAAUCUAUUAGGAUGACAACCAGGAGGCACCAGAGAGCAUGGGAAUCUGGGCUGGAAGUCAGGAAGACUCAUCUUUAUGAGUUCAAAUCCGUCCUCAGAUACGUGAGCCUCGGCAAGUCACUUCACCCUGUUUGCCUCAGUUUCUUCAUCAGUAAAAAUGAGCUGGAGAAGGAAAUAGAAAAUCUCUCCAGAAUCUUGGCCAAAUGAGAUCACAACUGGUAUAUAUGGCUGAAAAAUGAGUAUUUAUUACAACAAGCUGUCUCGGCAAGUCUGAACUCACUUUGCCCUUCUGUAAAGUCAUGGGACUGCACUAAAUAAUCUUCAAGAGAUCUUUAGGCAGAGCUCAAUAAAAAUGUGAAUUUGAGCAAGGCAGAUAAGAUAAAAACUUCUAAGUUUAAGUAGAAUGUGAUCAAGCGCUUUAAGACCAAGAACACAGAGACUUCAGGCAGCUGGUAGUGGGGGACGUGGCUGCUCCUCCUUGAAGGCUGAGCAGGGAUGCACCAACUGGCUUGCCUUCAGGUAUACUAUACCUUCUGGACCUCUGACUGGCUAAUACCAUCUGCCUAGUUGCUGCGCCAAGAAAGGAAUACCAGGUCUUCCCAUCUGCCUUUUAGUGAAUCCUCAUAGAAGUCCUUGAAUUAAAAGUGUGUGCUCCUUGA
This is a long non-coding RNA of Sarcophilus harrisii (Tasmanian devil), 2093 nucleotides long. RefSeq lists it as uncharacterized. NCBI's taxonomy places the organism in Eukaryota, Metazoa, Chordata, Mammalia, Dasyuromorphia, Dasyuridae. The transcript is spliced from 2 exons. The record is from RefSeq and is a predicted model, not a curated record.